This 253-nucleotide ribosomal RNA is filed under the name uncultured bacterium. RNAcentral's name for it is "partial 16S ribosomal RNA". It matches the Rfam family "Bacterial small subunit ribosomal RNA", at positions 524 to 776 of the family's 1533-position model. The record is from RNAcentral.
UACGUAGGGUGCAAGCGUUGUCCGGAAUUAUUGGGCAUAAAGAGCUCGUAGGCGGUCUGUCGCGUCGGCUGUGAAAACCCGGAGCUCAACUCCGGGCCUGCAGUCGAUACGGGCAGACUGGAGUUCGGCAGGGGAGACUGGAAUUCCUGGUGCAGCGGUGAAAUGCGCAGAUAUCAGGAGGAACACCGGUGGCGAAGGCGGGUCUCUGGGCCGAUACUGACGCUGAGGAGCGAAAGCGUGGGGAGCGAACAGG